This is a long non-coding RNA of Gallus gallus (chicken), 860 nucleotides long. The record is from Ensembl. Lineage: Eukaryota; Metazoa; Chordata; Aves; Galliformes; Phasianidae.
GGGACGAGUUUUCCUCCUCGCCACCAAAACCUCGCAGCCAGCGUACCAACACUGCCCACCCCAUCCUCAGCUCCAUGCAGGUUCCACAUGCAGCCCCAGGCAGUCAAAUGCUGCAUUGAAGGGCCGAGUGAUGGAGAGGGGACCGCUCGCAGCCACCAUCAUCGCUUCAAACAAACAGGCUGAGAGCUUAAUGAUUUCAAGGCCCAGUGGGUGUCCUGUCUUCCUGGAAUUUGUUGGCUAUCUAAUGAGAAGCAGCCUGGUGAACGAUGUUAAUGGAUAAAGGCACCUCAUGUGGGGGGCCACACUGAGUGAUACGAAGCGGAGCCACCUGACAGCAGCCUGAUGGGAGUGAUAGUGCAGAGGGCAGGAAGCAACAUGAAGAGCCACCCCGGGACUUGCAGGGCUCUCCAAGCAGACGGAACAGAGGGAGAGGUGCACAAAGAGCCCGGUGUGCUGCCCCAAAGGCCCUUCUGUGUUCCUUGAAAACCUGUUAUGCUUCUUGUUGGGGCUGGGGAGGGGAAUCGGGGUCAGAGGUGCUCCUGGGGCGUGGGGUUGGGGAUGCUCCCUGGGGUCUGGGUGAGGAAAGGGGAAGGCACACAGACGGGGCGAGGAAAGAAGGGAAAGGGAAGGAGAGCGGCGUGCGUGCGUGUGACUGCGGGGAGAAACAGGAUUCAUGGUAAUUUCCUGCCAGAUGCCUGAACUCCUCCAGCAUGCAGACAUUUCACAUGUGAAAUAUCAAAGCGUUCCCAAUAACAAAUGUACUUCCUGCAGCUCCUCAGAUCUGCCUCCGUGCCAGCAAGGGAGCCGGGCAGGGAACGCCGCUGCAGUGCUGGGGGUGCCGGGCUCAGCAAAAGGCUAUC